This 511-nucleotide ribosomal RNA is filed under the name uncultured bacterium. RNAcentral's name for it is "bacterial SSU rRNA". It matches the Rfam family "Bacterial small subunit ribosomal RNA", at positions 15 to 518 of the family's 1533-position model. The record is from RNAcentral.
GAUCCUGGCUUAGGAUGAACGCUAGCGGCAGGCUAACACAUGCAAGUCGAGGGACAGCGUGGAGUAGCAAUACUCUGACGGCGACCGGCGAAAGGGUGAGUAACGCGUGAGCAACAUGCCCGGUAGUGGAGAAUAGUCGAUGGAAACGUCGCGUAAUACUCCGUAACAUAGGAGACCGCAUGAUCUUCUAUUAAUAGAUUUAUCGCUACCGGAUUGGCUCGCGUACCAUUAGCUAGUUGGCGGGGUAACGGCCCACCAAGGCGACGAUGGUUAGGGGUUCUGAGAGGAAGGUCCCCCCACAUUGGAACUGAGACACGGUCCAGACUCCUACGGGAGGCAGCAGUGAGGAAUAUUGGACAAUGGCCGAGAGGCUGAUCCAGCCAUGCCGCGUGCGGGAAAAGACGGCCCUAUGGGUUGUAAACCGCUUUUGUUGGGGAGCAAUAAGGUCCACGCGUGGAUCGAUGAGAGUACCCAGCGAAUAAGCAUCGGCUAACUCCGUGCCAGCAGCCGC